GCGAACGCUGGCGGCAGGCCUAACACAUGCAAGUCGAACGAACCUUUCGGGGUUAGUGGCGGACGGGUGAGUAACACGUGGGAACGUGCCUUUAGGUUCGGAAUAACUCAGGGAAACUUGUGCUAAUACCGAAUGUGCCCUUCGGGGGAAAGAUUAAUCGCCUUUAGAGCGGCCCGCGUCUGAUUAGCUAGUUGGUUGAGGUAAUGGCUCACCAAGGCGACGAUCAGUAGCUGGUCUGAGAGGAUGAUCAGCCACAUUGGGACUGAGACACGGCCCAAACUCCUACGGGAGGCAGCAGUGGGGAAUCUUGCGCAAUGGGCGAAAGCCUGACGCAGCCAUGCCGCGUGAAUGAUGAAGGUCUUAGGAUUGUAAAAUUCUUUCACCGGGGACGAUAAUGACGGUACCCGGAGAAGAAGCCCCGGCUAACUUCGU
RNAcentral lists this ribosomal RNA (432 nucleotides) under uncultured bacterium. RNAcentral's name for it is "partial 16S ribosomal RNA". It matches the Rfam family "Bacterial small subunit ribosomal RNA", at positions 29 to 506 of the family's 1533-position model. The record is from RNAcentral.